Molecule: long non-coding RNA, 502 nt
Organism: Spea bombifrons (plains spadefoot toad)
Lineage: Eukaryota; Metazoa; Chordata; Amphibia; Anura; Pelobatidae
Exons: 2
Source: RefSeq, a predicted model, not a curated record
CACUGUGAGUGAAAUAUAGCUCCAGUUUUCCAGGAACCAGGUCACAAAGAAGUCAAUACAAGAACACACUUUAUUGGGCAAAAUGGGUCUUCUUCUGGGUAGAAAGGACAGUGUUAUCGGGCGAAACAAAUACAGAAAGCAAACUGAAUUAUCUGUCAGUAUCUCUAGCCAAUGGGUGACAAUAUUAACAGCCAUCAGAAGUGACAGGAUCGUGGAUGCAGCAGAUCAAAAUUGGAAAUAUAAAUUGUUUUGGUGGAUGUACACGUUCUACUUACCUUAUAAAUUAUAUUUCUUGAAGAAGCUAAUACUGUUUUAAAUUCACUGUCCCUUUAAUGAAUUGCAGAAACAUUUUAUCUGAAGCUGAGUAACAGAAACUAGAGAUUACUAGUGUGUGCCAAAAAUCUCAUCCGAGGGCAAAUGAAUCCCAAAACUGUAACAAUGGAAAUGUUCUCCUUCUUUUCUUCUUGCAUCUGCUUUGCAGCUGAUUAAAGUGUAUGGCACA